RNAcentral lists this ribosomal RNA (699 nucleotides) under uncultured bacterium. RNAcentral's name for it is "bacterial SSU rRNA". It matches the Rfam family "Bacterial small subunit ribosomal RNA", at positions 28 to 773 of the family's 1533-position model. The record is from RNAcentral.
AACGAACGCUGGCGGCAUGCCUAACACAUGCAAGUCGAACGAAGCCUUCGGGCUUAGUGGCGCACGGGUGCGUAACGCGUGGGAACCUGCCUUUAGGUUCGGAAUAACGCCUCGAAAGGGGUGCUAAUACCGGAUAAUGUCUUCGGACCAAAGAUUUAUCGCCUUUAGAUGGGCCCGCGUUGGAUUAGCUAGUUGGUGGGGUAAAGGCCUACCAAGGCGACGAUCCAUAGCUGGUCUUAGAGGAUGAUCAGCCACACUGGGACUGAGACACGGCCCAGACUCCUACGGGAGGCAGCAGUGGGGAAUAUUGGACAAUGGGCGAAAGCCUGAUCCAGCAAUGCCGCGUGAGUGAUGAAGGCCUUAGGGUUGUAAAGCUCUUUUACCAGGGGUGAUAAUGACAGUACCUGGAGAAUAAGCUCCGGCUAACUCCGUGCCAGCAGCCGCGGUAAUACGGAGGGAGCUAGCGUUGUUCGGAAAUACUGGGCGUAAAGCGCACGUAGGCGGCGCAGCAAGUCAGGGGUGAAAUCCCGGGGCUCAACCCCGGAACUGCCUCUGAAACUGCAGUGCUAGAAUCUUGGAGAGGCGAGUGGAAUUCCGAGUGUAGAGGUGAAAUUCGUAGAUAUUCGGAAGAACACCAGUGGCGAAGGCGACUCGCUGGACAAGUAUUGACGCUGAGGUGUGAAAGCGUGGGGAGCAAAC